RNAcentral lists this ribosomal RNA (872 nucleotides) under Atypoides riversi. RNAcentral describes it as "eukaryotic LSU rRNA". It matches the Rfam family "Eukaryotic large subunit ribosomal RNA", at positions 363 to 892 of the family's 3401-position model. Lineage: Eukaryota; Metazoa; Arthropoda; Arachnida; Araneae; Antrodiaetidae. The record is from RNAcentral.
GUUGCAAAGAACUUUGAAGAGAGAGUUCAAGAGUACGUGAAACUGCUGAGAGGCAAACUGGUGGGCCCUCGAAAUCCCGUCUGCGGGGAGAUUCAGUCGGGUGUCGGCGGCCGUCUCGCAAUGGGUCUGUCGCAACCGAAGAUCGGGGCACAUUCCGAGAGGCGAGUUCGCCGGAACCCGACGCAUUUCCCGCCCGCACGAAAGGACGCCGCAGCCGGUCGGGUAGCUGCGCGUGUCGGCCAUGAGGACGUGGCGACGGCAGGUGACCGGCGGCCCUAGGCUUCUCCGGAGGCACUAACGGUCGACGGUUGAUUAGCCGGCUCGUCCGUGGCGCGACACCCGACCGAGGAAACACGGACAAAAAUUUUCUCUCCACGGAGAGAAACUUAUAAUCCACUACUUUCAAUACGAGAGCGAGCCGUCGGACAGGCGCGUUCCUGCGUGGUCGGACAGUCACCGCACUGGUCGAUCUGGUGGGAGCGCGUCGUUGGUUUCCGAGUCAGGAUCUCGCGGAGGAGGAUGAAGGCUGGCGGCGAGUAGGUCGGUAACCCACCCGACCCGUCUUGAAACACGGACCAAGGAGUCUAACAUGUGCGCAAGUCGCGGGGUCUUGCUCAGGCCCAGAGGCGAAAUGAAAGUGAAGGCCGCCGCUCUCCCUCGUUCACUCGGGGGCGGAGUGAGGCGGCCCGGUUGGGACUCGCACGUGACACGGCACGUGAACGAAGCACCAACGACCCGCCCUGUUCUAUCUUCUGGAUAGGAACUCAAACGGAGUUCGAGCGCACACGUUGGGACCCGAAAGAUGGUGAACUAUGCCUGGGCAGGACGAAGCCAGAGGAAACUCUGGUGGAGGUCCGCAGCGGUUCUGACGU